AAUCAAAUCAGACCGAGAUGGAAGCAGAGACGUUCCUUAGUUUUGCUCAGAGAGAGGGACUGAAGAAGUAGUGGUACAAGGGAAGAGUGGGAGUUUGAGUAAUUCGCAUUCACAGCCAUUUAAUUGCAAUUCUGAAAUUUGAAAAGCAAAACACGUGACGUGGUUAGAGCUAGUGGUUUCAGACUCACACACACACCAUAUAUAGAUCCACCGGCCCAUAACCACAACAAACACGUACACUCUUAACACCCCUAAUUAAUUUCACCAUUCUCUCUCCUAGCCAGCCCCACCAGUCUGUCCUAGAAAUAACUCCCUCCCAUCAUACAUAGACCAAACCCUUUUCAAUUUUUUCGAUCACUACCAAAUCGAUCGAACAAUUUCUCCCAAAAAAAAAGAAAAAAAAGAAAAAAAAAGCAGUAUAUAUAGCUAGCCACUUUUACGUACUUUUAAUUCAGAGAUCGACCUUAAGAUUGAAAAUUAUGGACAGUUUUGAUUCGCAAUUAUCUAGGCAAAACUCAUUGAAGGGAAGAUGCUGGCAAGAUCAGAGGAGAUUACUCUCAGUCAUAGACAACCAUCACCACCAGUCCAGCUUCUAUAGCAGAUCAGUUGUUGUGGUUGGUACUACUAGUACUGCAGCUGCUCCACCGUCGAUAUCACCAACCUCCAUGGGUAACCUAGCUAAUAAUCUCCAAAGUUUUCCAGUAAUUGGUGGGUUUGAUGAUGAUGAUUUCAUUUCUAAAGUGGUCCCUCCGGUCACUGUUGUGCUCGAAGGCCGUGCCAUCUGCCACCGCAUCAGCCUUCAUAAGCAUGCAGGCUACAAAAGCCUCGCCAAGGCCCUCCGCCACAUGUUCGCAGUGGCCGACGCUUGUAGUACUAGUACUACUUGUGAUGAUGAUCAUCACAAUACUGAUCUUUAUCUAUCAACUGCUGUUCCCGGUCACCUCAUUGCUUAUGAAGACAUGGAAAAUGAUCUUAUUCUCGUCGGCGACCUUAACUGGAAGGAUUUUGUGACGGUAGCUAAGAGAAUUCGGAUACUGCCCGUUAAGGCACAUUCAACGAAGGGAAGAGGAGGAGUUUAAUUAUUUUAUUAGCUAAAUUGCUGCUUUCUGGUGGUGGUGGAAUUGCAAGGAAUUGAAGUAAACAAAUUAAGUUUUUGAAUGUGUUGGCCGGCCGGGAGCUCCAUCCAGGAAUUAAGUACAAGAACCAAGGUUGCGAUUCUCGUCAUGCUUGGAUGAUUGGUGGACUUGAAGAUUUUCAUUUCUUGUAAAGGUUGGCUUAAAAAGCCAUUUGUAGCCUUAUAUGUCAAAAUAUGUAUAUUUGAAUUUAAACAUGUAAUGUGUACAUGAGUACACUCCUUACAACGUAUUUGACAUGUAUGAGAAGAGGUCGGAGGCCAAUGACAUGUAUUUGUAUUCUAUGU
This is an RNA transcript of Cornus florida, 1420 nucleotides long. It is a transcript of the gene named auxin-responsive protein IAA33, with no coding region annotated. The record is from RefSeq and is a predicted model, not a curated record. Lineage: Eukaryota; Viridiplantae; Streptophyta; Magnoliopsida; Cornales; Cornaceae. The transcript has 3 exons.